CCCCAGCGCCACGAGUGGGAAUCGCGUUUAUUGGGCCUAAAGCAUCCGUAGCUGGUUGUGUAAAUCCCUUGUGAAAUUGUUGGGCUUAACCCAACAGCGUGCAGGAGACACUGCAGAACUAGGGAUCGGGAGGGGUUAGAGGUAUGCUGAGGGGAGCGGUAAAAUGCUAUAAUCCUCGGUAGACCACCUGUGGCGAAGGCGUCUAACCAGAACGAGUCCGACAGUGAGGGAUGAAAGCCAAGGGAGCAAACCG
This 253-nucleotide ribosomal RNA is filed under the name uncultured archaeon. Its description in RNAcentral is "partial 16S ribosomal RNA". It matches the Rfam family "Archaeal small subunit ribosomal RNA", at positions 474 to 726 of the family's 1478-position model. The record is from RNAcentral.